CGGUAAACAGAGGGAAGCGAGCCUGCGAGGGGGAGCGAAUCCCAAAAAUAAACGUCCCAGUUCGGAUUGUAGUCUGCAACCCGACUACAUGAAGCUGGAAUCGCUAGUAAUCGCGGAUCAGAAUGCCGCGGUGAAUACGUUCCCGGGUCUUGUACACACCGCCCGUCACACCAUGGGAGUCGGAAAUGCCCGAAGUCUGUGACCCAACCUACGGGAGGGAGCAGCCGAAGGCAGGCCGGAUGACUGGGGUGAAGUCGUAACAAGGUACC
This 269-nucleotide ribosomal RNA is filed under the name uncultured bacterium. RNAcentral's name for it is "partial 16S ribosomal RNA". It matches the Rfam family "Bacterial small subunit ribosomal RNA", at positions 1234 to 1500 of the family's 1533-position model. The record is from RNAcentral.